UACACUAUAAUGAUGCAAGU
RNAcentral lists this small nuclear RNA (20 nucleotides) under Arabidopsis thaliana (thale cress). Its description in RNAcentral is "snRNA_04317". The record is from RNAcentral. Lineage: Eukaryota; Viridiplantae; Streptophyta; Magnoliopsida; Brassicales; Brassicaceae.